This 253-nucleotide ribosomal RNA is filed under the name uncultured bacterium. RNAcentral describes it as "partial 16S ribosomal RNA". It matches the Rfam family "Bacterial small subunit ribosomal RNA", at positions 524 to 776 of the family's 1533-position model. The record is from RNAcentral.
UACGGAGGGUGCGAGCGUUGUUCGGAAUCACUGGGCGUAAAGCGCGUGUAGGCGGCCUGCUAAGUCUGAUGUGAAAGCCCGAGGCUCACCCUCGGAAGUGCAUUGGAAACUGGCAGACUGGAGUCCCGGAGAGGAGGGUGGAAUUCCUGGUGUAGCGGUGAAAUGCGUAGAGAUCAUGAGGAAGACCAGUGGCGAAGGCGGGUCUCUGGACAGUUCCUGACACUGAGGCACGAAGGCCAGGGGAGCAAACGGG